GACGAACGCUGGCGGCAUGCCUAAUACAUGCAAGUCGAGCGAACAGAUGAAGUGCUUGCACUUCUGACGUUAGCGGCGAACGGGUGAGUAACACGUAAGGAAUCUACCUAUAAGCGGGGGAUAACAUUCGGAAACGGGUGCUAAUACCGCAUAAUAUCUUCUUCCGCAUGGAAGAAGAGUGAAAGACGGCUCUGCUGUCACUUAUAGAUGACCUUGCGGUGCAUUAGUUAGUUGGUGGGGUAAUGGCCUACCAAGACGAUGAUGCAUAGCCGACCUGAGAGGGUGAUCGGCCACACUGGGACUGAGACACGGCCCAAACUCCUACGGGAGGCAGCAGUAGGGAAUCUUCCGCAAUGGGCGAAAGCCUGACGGAGCAAUGCCGCGUGAGAGAAGAAGGCCUUCGGGUCGUAAAACUCUGUUAUAAGAGAAGAACAAAUUGUAGAGUAACUGCUACAGUCUUGACGGUAUCUUAUCAGAAAGCCACGGCUAACUACGUGCCAGCCGCCGCCGUAA
This 513-nucleotide ribosomal RNA is filed under the name uncultured bacterium. RNAcentral's name for it is "partial 16S ribosomal RNA". It matches the Rfam family "Bacterial small subunit ribosomal RNA", at positions 28 to 523 of the family's 1533-position model. The record is from RNAcentral.